Molecule: ribosomal RNA, 746 nt
Filed under: uncultured bacterium
Lineage: Bacteria
Description: bacterial SSU rRNA
Rfam family: Bacterial small subunit ribosomal RNA
Source: RNAcentral
AGAGUUUGAUCAUGGCUCAGAGCGAACGCUGGCGGCAUGCUUAACACAUGCAAGUCGCACGGGCCGGGCAACCGGUCAGUGGCGGACGGGUGAGUAACGCGUAGGUAUCUAUCCUUGGGUGGGGGAUAACCAUGGGAAACCGUGGCUAAUACCGCAUGACGACUGAGGUCCAAAGGCGCGAGUCGCCUGGGGAGGAGCCUGCGUCCGAUUAGCUAGUUGGUGGGGUAAAGGCUCACCAAGGCUACGAUCGGUAGCUGGUCUGAGAGGAUGAUCAGCCACACUGGGACUGAGACACGGCCCAGACUCCUACGGGAGGCAGCAGUGGGGAAUAUUGGACAAUGGGCGCAAGCCUGAUCCAGCAAUGCCGCGUGGGUGAAGAAGGUUUUCGGAUUGUAAAGCCCUUUCGACGGGGACGAUGAUGACGGUACCCGUAGAAGAAGCCCCGGCUAGCUUCGUGCCAGCAGCCGCGGUAAUACGAAGGGGGCUAGCGUUGCUCGGAAUGACUGGGCGUAAAGGGCGCGUAGGCGGAUUGUACAGUCAGAUGUGAAAUUCCUGGGCUCAACCUGGGGGCUGCAUUUGAUACGUAUGGUCUGGAGUGAGGAAGAGGGUCGUGGAAUUCCCAGUGUAGAGGUGAAAUUCGUAGAUAUUGGGAAGAACACCGGUGGCGAAGGCGGCGACCUGGUCCUUUACUGACGCUGAGGCGCGAAAGCGUGGGGAGCAAACAGGAUUAGAUACCCUAGUAGUCC